RNAcentral lists this long non-coding RNA (1840 nucleotides) under Equus caballus (horse). RNAcentral describes it as "lncRNA (ENSECAG00000058138.1)". Lineage: Eukaryota; Metazoa; Chordata; Mammalia; Perissodactyla; Equidae. The record is from RNAcentral.
GGCGCGGGCCCGCAGGGAGGCCGGGCCGGACCUGCGCCCAGGGACUGAAUCUCCGCGGCGGGAGGCCUCGGAUCGUCGGGCCCAGGCCGGGCGGGGCACCGGCUCCGAGCUGCGGCCGGGGGCGGCGCAGAGCCCGGGUCACCGCGUCCCCGGCUCCGGAAGGCGCGCGGGCGGGCGCGGGGCCGGAGGGAGCGCGCGCUCGGAGCCGCGUGCAGGGUUCAGCCGUGUUUCGGUUGCCCUCUGACCUGACCCUGGGCGCACAAAGGCCUCCCGGGUGCGCCGCCAUGGCCCAGCCUUCAGUCGCUGCCAAAUUAAUGAGCCCACGUCAGGUUGGGUUUACAGCUCGGCCGGGAAGCAGCCGAGUGGAAAAUGAGCCCGGGGCGGCCGCGGGGCCGGGGAAGUCGAGGCCGCGCCGCGGCGCCCUCCGCUCCCGCUCUCGCUCUCCCUCCUGCCGCCUCCCGAGGGGGCGGGCCUGCCGGGGAACCGGCUGGUCUGCGAGCAACGGGUCUGCCCUGCUUCCCGACGCCGUCGCAGACCCCGCAGAAGUCGAUCUGCUGGUUCAUCCUGAAGUCUGGAAGACUGGCUCCCUGUGCUGACGGCUCUGCUGUCCUAUAGCUCUUUAAACACUGUGGGGAAUUCCAUUCAAGAAAAAUGACCAGACUUGAAGCUGAUAAAGCGAUUAAGGUCGAUGGAAAACUACAACAACCCCAAUCAAGCAGGACUGCUAAUGACCCAGACUCUUCAGGAGUAAAGGUUUGAGUCACUCCACCAGGCAGGAACCGCGCCCAGCGGAGGUGCUUGCUUAUGGGAAAGAGUUACAGGUAUUGUGAAUCAACUAAAAGAAGAACUAACAUCGCCCCUAAACAAAAAAGGGACUUUGAGUCCUCUUCUGGGAAAGGGUUAUCGUGUUGUGAAGGUUGUACCAUUUCAGGCUGAAGCGUGACUUUGGUGUGGUUUUCAUUUGGAGAUAAAAUAUGGCUUAAGGAGCUGUGUACAGUGUAAGCUGACAAAGGGUCAUCUCUGGCGACUUUGCAAUGUGUCAGUGUGGCUAGACUGAAUUGUGUUUCUCAGAACUUCACUCCGUAUGUUUCCAGUUAGAGUGUGUCACAAGAGAGAUCCUGGUGUGAGAUCUGGAGGCCACGAGAGAAGCAGCAGCCACUGUUGCUGAUGUCCCGGUUCACCCUAUAGUGUCAUGCAGCAGCCGGGCCUACAGCUCCUCCACCUCCUCCUGGGGCUUCCUUCAGCUUCUCUGACUCCUGGGCCGGAUGCGUGUUGGGUCCACAAUGAAGGACAUCAACUUCUGCGGACACUCAGACCAUCAAGAUGCUGUGCCGUUCAUCUGUGCUCUUCCAGAACCUUCGCAGUUUAAGAUGUGAAAACAGACACUUCCUGAGCCUGAGCUCACCGCGGAGGCCUCUGGGCACUGGAAGAAGGUAGAGCACAAGCUGCUUUGGAUGAGUUCUACUGCGUGGCCCCGACUGGAAUGUUACAUCAAUAACAGUGUGAUAUGACGAUGAUAGCAGCCAACCUUGAUUUGGCCCGUCCCAUGUGCCAGUGCUCUGCAUGCAUCACGUUAUGGAGUUGUCACGAUAAGCCUAUGGGAUAGGGAUUAUUAGUACCCAUUUUACAAAUGCAAAACCUGAGGCUCGGAGAGGUUAAACAGGUUAUUCACCAGGUUAGUAACUGGUGGAGCUGGGCCUCAAACCAUUGGCCUCUCGAGCGUGGGCUCUCAACCAGUGCACUGUCAUGGAAGCUCCUCCUUGUGUGCACACUGGACUGCCCCAAAUGCCUGUGGAGGAAGAGAAUGUAAAAUUUCAUUUCGAUGCCCCUGGGAUCAAAG